ACAUCAGGAAGGGUGGAACUUGCUGCUGUAAUUGAGUGGCUUUAUGAUCCGGAAACAGCGGCAAAACAAACUCACUCCCGUACAUGACAGAUUGAAUAACAGGAGCAGUCACAUCUUGCAGAAGGCUGCAGGCUGGCUGCAAGGACAAGGGGCAAGAGAACAAGGAGCAACAGAGAUCCAGUUUGUUUUGGAGAGGAGAAAACCUCAGCGGGUAAUUCUGCUCCCAGUAGAAACCUCCUGAACGAUGAACACUGAACGAAUGCUAACCAGGAGAAGCUGACUGCAGUGCCGGCAACGGUCGUGAAGACAACAACUCCCAUGAUCCCACACUACCUCACUACGUCAUCAAACUCCGUCUUUUAUUAUUGUUUUGAUGUGAGAGACCCCUUGGCAGGAGAAAUUACACAUUGUCUGUUUAAUAAGUGCCAAAAAGAGAGCAAACCGUAAAUGUAGAGUUUAGUCUCCAGUGUCGUGGAGCUCGGAUGAACUGAAGCCAUGAAACAGCUGCGUGGAGUGAAAGGAGACAGCAUAAUCCACACAUCAAUUAGACACAGAGAGACUGGAUGAUACGGCGAGGGUGUGUGUGUCUGUGCAUAUGCUGUGGAUACUGGUCUCAAGCGUGUGUGUGUGUGUGUGUGUGUGUGUGUGUGUGAGAGAGAAAGAGCAUGUGUGAAAGCCUUGAGUAAUCCUGCUUAGUCUAGCAGCUGGGGGAGCAGGUUGAAGUAGUGUGACAGUAUGAAGGGCUGGGUGAGGGUUUAAUACUAAAACUACUGUCAACAAUAGAAUACACACAUAAUAUUUAACAAAGAAUGUGCGAGAGUGUGUGUACAACAGCACUGCCAGGAAGUAAUGUGCUUGGGGGAUAGUAGUAAGGGGCUGAGAGUAAGUAAAUUAACUCAUGUAGAGCAGCUCUGCUCAAACAGCAGGGACAGGGUCGUUAAUGUGGUCUCAAAGGGUUCACGCACACUACUAGAUUUAAUUAAGAUUUCUCAAACUAAUUACACAUGGCUGUUUUUUCUAACAUUAAGGCUGUUUCAAGGAAACCCGAAGAAAAACUAUUGUGCUUUCAGAAUGAUUUUCUACUAUAGAACGGUUUUUAUUGUAUUGUACUACAGAGAAUCUCAAUAUCUUCUUGUUCUCAACCACAAUGUAACUGAAAACGACAUUACGUUAGUGUAUUUUACAACUGAAGAUUUAAAAACUUUAUAUUUCUCAAAGUAAGUAUAAAAAUCAUCAUAUAAUUUUGAUAUCAGCACUAAAACUCAGCUAUGGUAUUUUAAAUAGCAUCAACAAUGCCAAACAAUAUCCACCCCUACUAAACUAUA
Long non-coding RNA from Morone saxatilis (striped sea-bass), 1325 nucleotides. RefSeq lists it as uncharacterized. The record is from RefSeq and is a predicted model, not a curated record. NCBI's taxonomy places the organism in Eukaryota, Metazoa, Chordata, Actinopteri, Moronidae. The transcript has 3 exons.